RNAcentral lists this transfer RNA (75 nucleotides) under bacterium. Its description in RNAcentral is "tRNA-Trp". It matches the Rfam family "tRNA". Rfam says of the family: Transfer RNA (tRNA) molecules are approximately 80 nucleotides in length. Their secondary structure includes four short double-helical elements and three loops (D, anti-codon, and T loops). The record is from RNAcentral.
GAGUGUGUGGUGUUAAUGGUAACACGUUGGUCUCCAAAACCAAAGUUUAGAGUUCGAAUCUCUACACGCUUGCCA